UACGUAGGUGGCAAGCGUUGUCCGGAUUUAUUGGGUUUAAAGGGUGCGUAGGCGGCUUUGUAAGUCAGUGGUGAGAUAUGGCAGCUCAACUGUCAGGGUGCCAUUGAUACUGCGGAGCUUGAGUACAGAUGAGGUAGGCGGAAUUGACGGUGUAGCGGUGAAAUGCGUUGAGAUCGACAGGAACGCCGGUGGCGAAAGCGGGCCGCUGGCCCUCUUCUGACGCUGAGGCGCGAAAGCCAGGGGAGCGAACGGG
This 253-nucleotide ribosomal RNA is filed under the name uncultured bacterium. Its description in RNAcentral is "partial 16S ribosomal RNA". It matches the Rfam family "Bacterial small subunit ribosomal RNA", at positions 524 to 776 of the family's 1533-position model. The record is from RNAcentral.